This 254-nucleotide ribosomal RNA is filed under the name uncultured bacterium. Its description in RNAcentral is "partial 16S ribosomal RNA". It matches the Rfam family "Bacterial small subunit ribosomal RNA", at positions 524 to 776 of the family's 1533-position model. The record is from RNAcentral.
UACGUAGGGGGCAAGCGUUAUCCGGAAUCAUUGGGCGUAAAGCGCGUGUAGGCGGUUCCGUAAGUCCGCUCUGAAAGCCCAGGGCUCAACCCUGGGAGGCGGGUGGAUACUACGGAACUGGAGUACGGAAGAGGAGAUUGGAAUUCCUGGGUGUAGCGGUGAAAUGCGCAGAUAUGUGGAGGAACACCAGUGGCGAAGGCGGCUUUCUGGUCUGUAACUGACGCUGAGGCGCGAAAGCGUGGGGAGCAAACAGG